Molecule: ribosomal RNA, 827 nt
Filed under: Epipedobates anthonyi
Lineage: Eukaryota; Metazoa; Chordata; Amphibia; Anura; Dendrobatidae
Description: partial 16S ribosomal RNA
Rfam family: Bacterial large subunit ribosomal RNA
Source: RNAcentral
CCUUUCAACCCAUUUUUAUUAAAGAGCAAUUCUAUAUCUUUAUAGAAGAUUUAAUGUUAAAACUAGUAAUAAGAAGCAGACCCUUCUCUUUAAUGUAAACUUAUAUCAGCAAGGACACCNCCACUGAUCUUUAACGUCCCUAAAAUUAUAGUAAAAACUUAACAAGAAAACAUUACUCUUAUUUACGUUAACCUUACACAAGAACAUUUUAAGAAAGAUUAAAAGGAAAAGAAGGAACUCGGCAAAUAUUAGCCCCGCCUGUUUACCAAAAACAUCGCCUCUUGAUAAUUUAUAAGAGGUCCAGCCUGCCCAGUGACUCUGUUCAACGGCCGCGGUAUCCUAACCGUGCGAAGGUAGCGUAAUCACUUGUUCUUUAAAUGAGGACUAGUAUGAAUGGCCCCACGAAGGCUACACUGUCUCCUUUUCCUAAUCAAUGAAACUAAUCUUCCCGUGAAGAAGCGGGAAUAAUAAUAUAAGACGAGAAGACCCUAUGGAGCUUUAAACUAUAGAAACAUUUGCUUUAUGCCUUUAACCCUCCCGAGAUCUNCCCGAAUAUUUAAGCAAUUUUUAUUUCUAGUUUUAGGUUGGGGUGACCACGGAGUAAAAUACAACCUCCUCGAUGAAAGAGAUUUUCUCUUAGCUAAAAGCUACCUCUUUAAGCACCAACAAAUUGACUCUCAUUGACCCAAUUAAUUGAUCAACGAACCAAGUUACCCUAGGGAUAACAGCGCAAUCUACCUCGAGAGCUCAUAUCGACAGGUGGGUUUACGACCUCGAUGUUGGAUCAGGGUAUCCUAGUGGUGCAGCCGCUACUGAUGGUUCGUUUG